GUUCUACUGCGGCGUUGGUGACUGCCAAUAACGUUUUUUUGAUCUAUGCCUUUACAACAAGGGAAUCGUCUCGACCGAUGGCAGUAGACCGGGCACGUACUCGGAAACUUUAAAUCGGCACCUCGAUACCCACCUGGUUUCUUACCAGGUCAAAAGCUGAGGCAAGACGGCGUUGCGGGGAACCC
Molecule: non-coding RNA, 185 nt
Filed under: Oscillatoriales cyanobacterium SpSt-418
Lineage: Bacteria; Bacillati; Cyanobacteriota; Cyanophyceae; Oscillatoriales
Also listed under: 1 other name
Description: 6S RNA
Rfam family: 6S / SsrS RNA
About the family: E. coli 6S RNA was the first non coding RNA to be sequenced, but its function was unknown until recently. It consists of 184 nucleotides that fold into an extended hairpin structure with a large single-stranded internal bulge. The 6S RNA specifically associates with RNA polymerase holoenzyme containing the sigma70 specificity factor.
Source: RNAcentral